GUCUACGGCCAUACCACCCUGAAUGAGCCUGAUCUUGGAAGCUAAGCAGGGUCAGGCCUGGUUAGUACUUGGAUGGGAGAUAAGACACUAAAAUUCAUGAGCUGAAUUUA
Cricetulus griseus (Chinese hamster) is the source of this 110-nucleotide ribosomal RNA. Lineage: Eukaryota; Metazoa; Chordata; Mammalia; Rodentia; Cricetidae. The record is from Ensembl.